GGCUCAGGAUGAACGCUAGCGGCAGGCCUAAUACAUGCAAGACGAACGGUAAGUGGUGUAGCAAUAUAUCACCUAGAGUGUCGCAAGGGUGCGUAACACGUAUGCAAUCUGCCCUCAACAGGAGGAUAGCUCCCCGAAAGGGGAAUUAACACUCCAUAACACUAUGAUCAGGCAUCUGGUUGUAGUUAAAACUCCGGUGGUUGAGGAUGAGCAUGCGGAUGAUUAGCUAGUUGGCGGUGUAACGGACCACCAAGGCGAUGAUCAAUAGGGGAACUGAGAGGUUUAUCCCCCACACUGGCACUGAGAUACGGGCCAGACUCCUACGGGAGGCAGCAGUAGGGAAUAUUGGACAAUGGGCGCAAGCCUGAUCCAGCCAUGCCGCGUGCAGGAAGAAGGCCUUCUGGGUCGUAAACUGCUUUUCUCUGGGGAUAAAAAGACCCUGCGGGGUAAAUUGAAGGUACCAGAGGAAUAAGCCACGGCUAACUACGUGCCAGCAGCCGCGGUAAUACGUAGGUGGCAAGCGUUGUCCGGAUUUAUUGGGUUUAAAGGGUGCGUAGGCGGUUCCAUAAGUCAGUGGUGAAAUACGGCAGCUCAACUGUCGAGGUGCCAUUGAUACUGCGGAACUUGAGUACUGAUGAGGUAGGCGGAAUUGACGGUGUAGCGGUGAAAUGCUUAGAUAUCGUCAAGAACACCGAUAGCGAAGGCAGCUUACCAAGCAGUAACUGACGCUGAGGCACGAAAGUGCGGGGAUCAAACAGGAUUAGAUACCCUGGUAGUCCGCACAGUAAACGAUGAUUACUCGAUGUUGGCGAUACACAGCCAGCGUCUUAGCGAAAGCGAUAAGUAAUCCACCUGGGGGAGUA
This 863-nucleotide ribosomal RNA is filed under the name uncultured bacterium. RNAcentral describes it as "bacterial SSU rRNA". It matches the Rfam family "Bacterial small subunit ribosomal RNA", at positions 21 to 882 of the family's 1533-position model. The record is from RNAcentral.